AGAUAAGUAGGUUAUUUUGUGUGAAACCUUUAAGCUUAUUACUUAAGAAUACUUUAUUUUAGUCUUAUCUA
RNAcentral lists this transfer RNA (71 nucleotides) under Herdmania momus (red throated ascidian). RNAcentral describes it as "transfer RNA-Met (UAU)". Lineage: Eukaryota; Metazoa; Chordata; Ascidiacea; Stolidobranchia; Pyuridae. The record is from RNAcentral.